UAUUUGGCAUUAUUCAUCAUUUCAUCUUCAAAUGAAUUCUUAUAUGAUGAAGUCCUUAGGACUUAUGUUAUGAUAAAGGAGGAUUUAUCUUUGAGUCCUUAAACUUGUUCGCGACCAAAUGAUAUGUUGUUGCUAGGACGACAACAUUAUCGAAAUUAGGUCGUUGUGUGACAUAUACGUUGGUUGUCCUCUUAACCAAGGAGUGUGGAGACACUGGUAUGCCA
Molecule: long non-coding RNA, 224 nt
Filed under: Phoenix dactylifera (date palm)
Lineage: Eukaryota; Viridiplantae; Streptophyta; Magnoliopsida; Arecales; Arecaceae
Description: long non-coding RNA (PDAC_LNC019285)
Source: RNAcentral